This 207-nucleotide ribosomal RNA is filed under the name uncultured Mesotoga sp. Its description in RNAcentral is "partial 16S ribosomal RNA". It matches the Rfam family "Bacterial small subunit ribosomal RNA", at positions 568 to 774 of the family's 1533-position model. The record is from RNAcentral. Lineage: Bacteria; Thermotogati; Thermotogota; Thermotogae; Kosmotogales; Kosmotogaceae.
AGCGUAGGUGGCCUAACAUGUCAACUGUGAAAACCCGGAGCUCAACUCCGGACUUACAGUUGAAACUGGUAGGCUUGAGGACGGUAGAGGAAGACGGAACUGCCAGUGUAGGGGUAAAAUCCUUAGAUAUUGGCAGGAACGCCGGUGACGAAGGUGGUUUUCUGGGCCGGUUCUGACACUGAUGCUCGAAAGCCAGGGGAGCGAACG